GAUGAACGCUGGCGGCGUGCCUAAUACAUGCAAGUCGAGCGAACAGACGAGGAGCUUGCUCCUCUGACGUUAGCGGCGGACGGGUGAGUAACACGUGGAUAACCUACCUAUAAGACUGGGAUAACUUCGGGAAACCGGAGCUAAUACCGGAUAAUAUAUUGAACCGCAUGGUUCAAUAGUGAAAGACGGUUUUGCUGUCACUUAUAGAUGGAUCCGCGCCGCAUUAGCUAGUUGGUAAGGUAACGGCUUACCAAGGCAACGAUGCGUAGCCGACCUGAGAGGGUGAUCGGCCACACUGGAACUGAGACACGGUCCAGACUCCUACGGGAGGCAGCAGUUGGGAAUCUUCCGCAAUGGGCGAAAGCCUGACGGAGCAACGCCGCGUGAGUGAUGAAGGUCUUCGGAUCGUAAAACUCUGUUAUUAGGGAAGAACAAAUGUGUAAGUAACUAUGCACGUCCUGACGGUACCUAAUCAGAAAGCCACGGCUAACUACGUG
This 497-nucleotide ribosomal RNA is filed under the name uncultured bacterium. Its description in RNAcentral is "partial 16S ribosomal RNA". It matches the Rfam family "Bacterial small subunit ribosomal RNA", at positions 28 to 507 of the family's 1533-position model. The record is from RNAcentral.